Molecule: long non-coding RNA, 2912 nt
Organism: Sitophilus oryzae (rice weevil)
Lineage: Eukaryota; Metazoa; Arthropoda; Insecta; Coleoptera; Curculionidae
Exons: 4
Source: RefSeq, a predicted model, not a curated record
GCGUGACGUUAUUUAUGUUGCUCUUAUAAAUUUUCCGAGUUUUUCAUAGAAAAAGUGAUUUUUCUGUACACUAUUUGAGUGUAUUCUGUUCCUUAAGGCCUGCUUACUCUCCUGAAAAUGGGCUUUAAUUAUAGCAGCACACCAGCACAUAAAGGCCAUCUAAUAGAAGAGACCUGGGUAACUUCUUAUAUAAUCCUGAUAUUUGCUCAUCAUUCUGUUUUAAGAGUUGGUCUUCCAUUAUCUGAUUGAAAAUCUACAACAAAUCGAUGGAUGUGUACAGUUCCAGGGCAGUACAUUUAUCCUUUUGAUGGAUAUUAUUACCAACAAUGCAUCAGGACAUAAGUAUAUCUAAAAUGUUAUUUCUUUUGGGUAAAUACAUAUAUUUUUACUGGUUUUUAAUGUUCAUCAAUGGAUUUCACUAUUUUUAAAUUUAGUUAAUUAGGAAAAAUAUUUCAAUGGGUCUCUCUGUUACGUUUUUAUUGUUCAUUAUUAUUAUAGAAAAAUUCAGACUAUCUGUUUUUAAUUUGGGUCAAUUUUUGUUUUUCGACUAUUUCUUGUUCUUUUUUGGUAAUUUUCUACUCAGAAAGUUGCUUCAUAUUGGUUUAUUUCAUUUCUCCAUAACUAUCUUCACUGCCAUAUUUUCUUGAUUGUGGAAAUAAUAUCACCAUUUAGUCAAUUCCAUAAUUCAUUAAUAAUUGACUGUAUUUCUAUAGGUCUUAUUUGUUUGGUAAAGUCAAAGAUUAUUUGUUAAUAUUUGGUAAAGUAUACCAUCUACUUAAAAGUUUAUGUUGUUUUUGGUUUACUUUUAUUUCUGCAUAAUAACUUGACUCCCAUAUUUUCUUCAUUGUGGGAAUAAUAACAUCAUUCAUUCUUUGUAUUUCUAUAAGUCUUCUUUUAUUUGUAUUAUUUUUCUUAUGGUCAUUUUUCUAAUACUUUUUUUGCUUGUGUAAUUCCUUGUACAGAAUUUCAGUUUUAAUGGAUUCAUUUCCAUGUCAAUUUUUUCAGAUCAUGUGCCAUGCAUUUCUAUAAUUUCUGUAGCGGAUUUUAUUUGUUUAUUUUGCAUGGGUUUAAAUAUAAUUUAAACGCACUUAAUAGUCUCAAAUAGGACUAAUUUCCAAUUAAUUCCUGGCGCAUUCGCCAUUUAUUUAAAAAACUUACUCGUCCAGUUCUGGCUUUUCUAGCCUUUUCACAAUAAAUUUUCCUGAAUAACAUCGACUCCAGAGCAUCAUAGCUAGCCUCCCCUAAGAGGAGGGGACCUGGGUCACCCCCUAACCUUGAUGUUCGGCCAUCGAUGACCUAUGUAGCAUGCAUAGGUACCCAAGGGAGUCACCACCCUCUGGUUUACGAGCUAGGUGUUCUAACGCUAGAGGCUUCGGCCGGAUACGACCUGGCACCCAAGCUACGAGACUUCUUCGUGCACGUAUCCCGUGACGUCUCGACGGUAGAGGGGGCGGGAUAUCGGACACAUUGAAGAUGAUGAGGGGGGUCCGCCUGUAGGGGGUCCCGGUGGAUGUCCGCUCGAUGGGUGACGAGGGUGACCCGAGACGAGGCUGCUUAGCUGGGAUGGGAACUGACUGGUGAGGCUUAAUCGUCGGCCAAGGGUUAAAUCUGAUGAAGGGGGGCGAACCUAUAUGCUCUGGAGGAUUUUUUCUUUACGGGUUUGAUGUCAAAUAUUGACUAGAUAUUUCCGAGAGGAGGCUAAGCAGAGCUUUUUGUCAAUUUUCCAGUUCUUAAUGACCACAUACCUCUUUAUUUUUUAAUAUCAUCUAAAAUUUUUUGCCCCAUCUUGCUUCUGGCCGACCUCUCAUUAUUUUUGUCUGCCAUAUUUUCUUUAUUAAUGGAAUAUUAUCAUUCAUCAAUUCUAUGAACUCUUCCAAAAUUUUUUGUGCCAUUCUUCUGAUACUUUUCUAAGAUAUUAAUUUUAUCGACUAUUAUAGCUUUUUUGUCCAUUUUCAUGCCAUUUUCCCAAUUUAUCCCUCAUUUUUAUGCCACUUUAUCCAAUUCAUCAUGUCUCUGUUUCAUUAUUUUUCACUAAUAUUUUCUUUAUUAUUGGAAUAUCAUCACUCUUCUAUUUGAUUGUCUUGUAUAAUUUUUCUAUAUCAUAUUAUUCAGCCUUUUCUAAGACAUAAAAUUUUUCAAAAUUUCUAUUGCCUGUACAGAAUUAUAUUUUUUAUUCGUUUUUAUGCCAUCUUUUUCAAUCAUCAUAUCUGUCUCACUAUUGUCUCCCAUAGUCUUCAUUAUGGGAAUGUCAUCAUUCAUCAAUUUUAUAAACUUUUCCACUGAUCAAAUUUCUAAGUCUUCUUAUUAUCAAUUAUAUAAAAUUAUAAUAUUUUGUAUCAUUCUUUUGAGCCUUUUCUAAGUUAAUCACUCAUUUUCAUACAUUUUUUUUCAAUUCCACAUAUCUCUAUUUCUGCGUGUCUCUCAUAUUAUCUUCUUUCUAGAAAUCUUUUAUAAAUUUAUGUUUUUCUGAGUUAUCAAUCAUCAUUAUAUAAAAUUUAUUGUUCUUCUAUGUUUAUAUUUUUAAAUAUUUUCUCUUAUUUCUACAUAUUAUUGCUGAUUUUACUGUUAUUCUUCUAAGAAUAUAAUUUUGGAUUCAUUUUUUUGCUGAUUUUCUUUUUGUUCCUUUUCAAAUUGAGUUUUUGUAUGGGAUAUUGUACUGCUUUGGAACAAAGACAGCUGCAGUUCAACCACCCUCUUCGAGAUGCCAUUAGAUUAACUAAAUUCAGCAUUCAACAGCAGAUUGAGAAAGUCAUUCAUCAUUGAAGAGGAAACAAAAUCAUUUUCGAAUCAAGACUUUCCAGAAGGGUAGACUAGCUAGAAGAUUUAUUUACUUCCAUAUAGAGAUCAGAAAGUCCGCCAACACUACCUUGGAUUUUAAUAUACUUUUAUAUUACUAUUGUUAAAAAAAUGUA